Molecule: long non-coding RNA, 403 nt
Filed under: Androctonus crassicauda
Lineage: Eukaryota; Metazoa; Arthropoda; Arachnida; Scorpiones; Buthidae
Source: RNAcentral
CAUCAGGUAUGCACGGGUUGUAAAACAGUUAAAAGAACUUUAACGUAUAAGAACAUUAAAACAACGUAAAGGAUGAUAGAUUUAUCUCAGUACCGUAUAGUUUCAAACAAUCGGCUAUGGUAAGAGACUUUGCGAAAAAGGCGCAAAAAGAACUUGCCUUUAAGAGGCGGCCUACAUUAGUCAAUUCUUUGCGCAAUGAGAAAGAUCGAAGAAAAGAGGGAGAGAAAUCAGGAGUUUAUGUGAUUCCUCUAGAAUAUCUGCAAGAGAGGAAGCCCGCAGAGUAUAUUAGGGUCACUACUAGGACGCUCGAUCAACGAAUACAAGAACAUAAGAGGGAUAUCAAAGCAGGAAGGAUUACUACAGCACUGUCUGAAGAAGCAUUUUCUGAGCAGGUACAUAUAGA